RNAcentral lists this ribosomal RNA (24 nucleotides) under Plasmodium berghei. Its description in RNAcentral is "LS5". The record is from RNAcentral. RNAcentral also lists the same sequence under 5 other names. Lineage: Eukaryota; Apicomplexa; Aconoidasida; Haemosporida; Plasmodiidae.
GGUUUCUAUGGAAACACACUUCCC